RNAcentral lists this ribosomal RNA (269 nucleotides) under uncultured prokaryote. RNAcentral's name for it is "partial 16S ribosomal RNA". It matches the Rfam family "Bacterial small subunit ribosomal RNA", at positions 524 to 792 of the family's 1533-position model. The record is from RNAcentral.
UACGUAGGUGGCACGCGUUAUCCGGAAUUAUUGGGCGUAAAGAGCGCGCAGGUGGUUGAUUAAGUCUGAUGUGAAAGCCCACGGCUUAACCGUGGAGGGUCAUUGGAAACUGAGGAACUUGAGUAUAGAAGAGAAGAGUGGAAUUCCAAGUGUAGCGGUGAAAUGCGUAGAUAUUUGGAGGAACACCAGUGGCGAAGGCGACUCUUUGGUCUAUUACUGACGCUGAGGUACGAAAGCAUGGGUAGCAAACAGGAUUAGAUACCCUGGUA